RNAcentral lists this non-coding RNA (30 nucleotides) under Mus musculus (house mouse). The record is from RNAcentral. Lineage: Eukaryota; Metazoa; Chordata; Mammalia; Rodentia; Muridae.
UGAGCAGAAGAAAGAUACAUGAAUCUUCAG